RNAcentral lists this transfer RNA (63 nucleotides) under Lycoprogenthes sp. UPOL 000358. RNAcentral describes it as "tRNA-Phe". Lineage: Eukaryota; Metazoa; Arthropoda; Insecta; Coleoptera; Lycidae. The record is from RNAcentral.
AUGUUCUAAAGUAAAUACUACCUUAAUAUCUUCAAUAUUACACUCUUAUUAAGCUAUUAAAAC